This 1343-nucleotide ribosomal RNA is filed under the name uncultured bacterium. Its description in RNAcentral is "16S ribosomal RNA". It matches the Rfam family "Bacterial small subunit ribosomal RNA", at positions 28 to 1378 of the family's 1533-position model. The record is from RNAcentral.
GACGAACGCUGGUGGCGUGCUUAACACAUGCAAGUCGAACGGAAAGGCCCUGCUUUUGUGGGGUGCUCGAGUGGCGAACGGGUGAGUAACACGUGAGUAACCUGCCCUUGACUUUGGGAUAACUUCAGGAAACUGGGGCUAAUACCGGAUAGGAGCUCCUGCUGCAUGGUGGGGGUUGGAAAGUUUCGGCGGUUGGGGAUGGACUCGCGGCUUAUCAGCUUGUUGGUGGGGUAGUGGCUUACCAAGGCUUUGACGGGUAGCCGGCCUGAGAGGGUGACCGGCCACAUUGGGACUGAGAUACGGCCCAGACUCCUACGGGAGGCAGCAGUGGGGAAUAUUGCACAAUGGGCGGAAGCCUGAUGCAGCAACGCCGCGUGCGGGAUGACGGCCUUCGGGUUGUAAACCGCUUUCGCCUGUGACGAAGCGUGAGUGACGGUAAUGGGUAAAGAAGCACCGGCUAACUACGUGCCAGCAGCCGCGGUGAUACGUAGGGUGCGAGCGUUGUCCGGAUUUAUUGGGCGUAAAGGGCUCGUAGGUGGUUGAUCGCGUCGGAAGUGUAAUCUUGGGGCUUAACCCUGAGCGUGCUUUCGAUACGGGUUGACUUGAGGAAGGUAGGGGAGAAUGGAAUUCCUGGUGGAGCGGUGGAAUGCGCAGAUAUCAGGAGGAACACCAGUGGCGAAGGCGGUUCUCUGGGCCUUUCCUGACGCUGAGGAGCGAAAGCGUGGGGAGCGAACAGGCUUAGAUACCCUGGUAGUCCACGCUGUAAACGGUGGGUACUAGGUGUGGGGUCCAUUCCACGGGUUCCGUGCCGUAGCUAACGCUUUAAGUACCCCGCCUGGGGAGUACGGCCGCAAGGCUAAAACUCAAAGGAAUUGACGGGGCCCCGCACAAGCGGCGGAGCAUGCGGAUUAAUUCGAUGCAACGCGUAGAACCUUACCUGGGUUUGACAUGGAUCGGGAGUGCUCAGAGAUGGGUGUGCCUCUUUUGGGGUCGGUUCACAGGUGGUGCAUGGCUGUCGUCAGCUCGUGUCGUGAGAUGUUGGGUUAAGUCCCGCAACGAGCGCAACCCUUGUUCACUGUUGCCAGCACGUUAUGGUGGGGACUCAGUGGAGACCGCCGGGGUCAACUCGGAGGAAGGUGGGGAUGACGUCAAGUCAUCAUGCCCCUUAUGUCCAGGGCUUCACGCAUGCUACAAUGGCUGGUACAGAGAGUGGCGAGCCUGUGAGGGUGAGCGAAUCUCGGAAAGCCGGGCUCAGUUCGGAUUGGGGUCUGCAACUCGACCUCAUGAAGUCGGAGUCACUAGUAAUCGCAGAUCAGCAACGCUGCGGUGAAUACGUUCCCGGG